AAUCCAUAGGUUAAUGAGGCGAACCGGGGGAACUGAAACAUCUAAGUACCCCGAGGAAAAGAAAUCAACCGAGAUUCCCCCAGUAGCGGCGAGCGAACGGGGAGGAGCCCAGAGCCUGAAUCAGCAUGUGUGUUAGUGGAAGCGUCUGGAAAGGCGCGCGAUACAGGGUGACAGCCCCGUACACAAAAGCGCAUGUGCUGUGAGCUCGAUGAGUAGGGCGGGACACGUGGUAUCCUGUCUGAAUAUGGGGGGACCAUCCUCCAAGGCUAAAUACUCCUGACUGACCGAUAGUGAACCAGUACCGUGAGGGAAAGGCGAAAAGAACCCCGGCGAGGGGAGUGAAAAAGAACCUGAAACCGUGUACGUACAAGCAGUGGGAGCCCCACCACCAAAGCAUUUGCUGUACCGCGUUGA
This 414-nucleotide ribosomal RNA is filed under the name Salmonella enterica subsp. enterica serovar Enteritidis. RNAcentral's name for it is "partial 23S ribosomal RNA". It matches the Rfam family "Bacterial large subunit ribosomal RNA", at positions 161 to 587 of the family's 2925-position model. The record is from RNAcentral. Lineage: Bacteria; Pseudomonadati; Pseudomonadota; Gammaproteobacteria; Enterobacterales; Enterobacteriaceae.